RNAcentral lists this ribosomal RNA (456 nucleotides) under Streptomyces sp. 3BD8. Its description in RNAcentral is "bacterial SSU rRNA". It matches the Rfam family "Bacterial small subunit ribosomal RNA", at positions 1 to 459 of the family's 1533-position model. Lineage: Bacteria; Bacillati; Actinomycetota; Actinomycetes; Kitasatosporales; Streptomycetaceae. The record is from RNAcentral.
CCUUUAGAGUUUGGAUCCUGGCUCAGGACGAACGCUGGCGGCGUGCUUAACACAUGCAAGUCGAACGAUGAACCUCCUUCGGGAGGGGAUUAGUGGCGAACGGGUGAGUAACACGUGGGCAAUCUGCCCUUCACUCUGGGACAAGCCCUGGAAACGGGGUCUAAUACCGGAUACGACACACGACCGCAUGGUCUGUGUGUGGAAAGCUCCGGCGGUGAAGGAUGAGCCCGCGGCCUAUCAGCUUGUUGGUGGGGUGAUGGCCUACCAAGGCGACGACGGGUAGCCGGCCUGAGAGGGCGACCGGCCACACUGGGACUGAGACACGGCCCAGACUCCUACGGGAGGCAGCAGUGGGGAAUAUUGCACAAUGGGCGAAAGCCUGAUGCAGCGACGCCGCGUGAGGGAUGACGGCCUUCGGGUUGUAAACCUCUUUCAGCAGGAAGAAGCGAGAGGACG